RNAcentral lists this long non-coding RNA (990 nucleotides) under Chloebia gouldiae (Gouldian finch). Its description in RNAcentral is "Erythrura gouldiae (Gouldian finch) lncRNA (ENSEGOG00005016770.1)". The record is from RNAcentral. Lineage: Eukaryota; Metazoa; Chordata; Aves; Passeriformes; Passeridae.
AUGUUCCCUUUCACUGAGCCCGUGAGGAGGAUGAGAAAAGGAGCAUUUCAUGUCAUUCACGGAUCUUUGCUGAUAAUUUGGAGCAAUGCCUCAUGGAAGACAAUGCAAUGGACAGCCAGGCUGUUUGUUUUCUGCAGGCUCAGUCCUGCAAACAACCAGGGAUGCAAGUGCUGGGAGCUGGCAAAGCACAUGGAUAACCAGCAAGCGAUGGAAAUGGAGGUAGCGGAGAUGAGCACCCUCUCCCUGAAGGCAGCAUCCGGCAGCCCACGCCGGGCAAGGCAGGACUGAAGCCACACCUUCCUGCGUUCGCCUUACCUGUGCUGGUGGCUGUCUCACACCGCGGAGGAGAGAGCCUGGAUUAAAAACCACAGCGCCGGGGUGACAAAAAGAGAUGGUGGCAGCUCCGGCUGCCGACACACAUCCCAGGCACCGGCUCUGCCGGCUUUGAUCGAGCGUGCCAGGUCCCUCCCCAGCAAUCACCAGGAAAUUGAUGUAAACACUCCGGCAGCUUUUUGAGACCUUUCCUUCCCCUGCUUGAAAAGACACACAAUCCCUCGUGCUUGAGGAUGCAGCACAGAUUAUCUAGUCAGGGGCCGUGAUUAUCUCGUCAGGCUCCGCGGUGUUUAAUUAAGCUGUUUAUCGUGCUGUCGGUCUCCAUCCCGCCUGGAAGCGCGCCCUGGCAGCCAGCGCAGGGCGGGCGGAACGCGCGGGGCACACCCGCGGGCGGCGGAGCUGCGGGAGGAUGCUCCGCGGGGACGAGGGGUUAAUCGCCGCUCCGCACACAGCCCCUUUGUGCUGGGCGCUGCGGACUGACCCUGCCAAGCCAGGGCGGUGUGGGAGCCCCGGCCACUGCCAGGGGUUGUUGUUCGCCGCUCCGGGGACGGCUGCCAAGGUCCUGCGAGGUGCUGCCCUGGUUUCCUGCAGCGUUGGCGACAAACACCCAAAUAGCCCGUCUCUUCACCCAAACUAAGCUCGCACCAACCAGUGCCC